This 472-nucleotide ribosomal RNA is filed under the name uncultured bacterium. RNAcentral's name for it is "partial 16S ribosomal RNA". It matches the Rfam family "Bacterial small subunit ribosomal RNA", at positions 28 to 507 of the family's 1533-position model. The record is from RNAcentral.
GACGAACGCUGGCGGCGUGCUUAACACAUGCAAGUCGAACGCUGAAGCUUGGUGCUUGCACUGGGUGGAUGAGUGGCGAACGGGUGAGUAAUACGUGAGUAACCUGCCCUUGACUCUGGGAUAAGCCUGGGAAACUGGGUCUAAUACUGGAUAUGACAUGCCACUGCAUGGUGGUGUGUGGAAGGGGUUUUACUGGUUUUGGAUGGGCUCACGGCCUAUCAGCUUGUUGGUGGGGUAAUGGCCUACCAAGGCGACGACGGGUAGCCGGCCUGAGAGGGUGACCGGCCACACUGGGACUGAGACACGGCCCAGACUCCUACGGGAGGCAGCAGUGGGGAAUAUCGCACAAUGGGCGGAAGCCUGAUGCAGCGACGCCGCGUGAGGGAUGACGGCCUUCGGGUUGUAAACCUCUUUCAGCACGGAAGAAGCGAGAGUGACGGUACGUGCAGAAGAAGCGCCGGCUAACUACGUG